This 2753-nucleotide ribosomal RNA is filed under the name Caulerpa verticillata. RNAcentral describes it as "LSU rRNA". It matches the Rfam family "Bacterial large subunit ribosomal RNA". The record is from RNAcentral. Lineage: Eukaryota; Viridiplantae; Chlorophyta; Ulvophyceae; Bryopsidales; Caulerpaceae.
AUCGAAAAAAUAUAAUGCUUUAGGCGAAUACCUAAGGACUCAAAGGUGAAGAAGGGCGUGUUAACCUGCGAAAAUUUCUGGGGAGUUGGAAAAACGCUUUAAUCCAGAAGUUCCCGAAUGGAGCAAUCCUUUAAAACUACUAAAAUAAUUCAUAAAUUAGUAAGAAAUAACUUAGUGAAUUGAAACAUCUUAUUAACUAAAGGAAAAAAAAGCAAACGCGAUUUCCCUAGUAGUGGCGAGCGAACAGGAAAUAGUCUAAACCGAGAAAUUGGGGUUGUGGGACUUUGAUAAAAUUAUGAUGAAUUAAACAAAAAACAGCUGAAACCUGUACCAAAGAUGGUGAAAGUCCAGUUUUGUUUAAAACAUGAUAAUUGAAGAUCCCGAGUAGCUUGGGACACGUGAAAUCCCUUGUGAAUCAACGAGGACCACCUCGUAAGACUAAAUACUCUUGAGUCACUAAUAGUGAACAAGUACCGCGAGGGAACGGUGAAAUAGACCCCCUAUUAGGGAAGUGAAAUAGAUCAUGAAACCUUAAGCAAUCAAUCUGUGGGAGGAAAGCUAACCACAUGCCUGUUGAAGAAUGAGCCGGCGACUCAUGAUUUUUGGCACGGUUAAAGAAAAAUUUCUGAAGCCUUAGUGAAAACAAGUCUGAAUGAGGGCGUUUAUGUCAAAAAUUAUGGACCCGAACCCGAGUGAUCUAACCAUGACCAGGAAGAAUCUUAGGUAAAGCUAAGUGGACGUCCGAACCGACCGAUGUUGCAAAAUCGGCGGAUGAGUUGUGGUUAGCGGUGAAAUGCUAAUCGAACUCGGAGCUAGCUGGUUCUACCCGAAAUGCGUUUUGGCGCAGCAUUUGAAGAUGAUCUGAUAACAGGUAGAGCACUGUUUCGGUGCGGGCCAGUCAAAUGGUACCAAAUUGUGGCAAACUCCAAAUUGUUGUCAUGACUACCUUCAAAAAGUGAGACCUUGGGGGAUAAGCUCCAAGGUCGAGAGGGAAACAGCCCAGACCAUCAGUUAAGGCCCCUAAAUAAUUACUAAGUGUUAAAGGAAGUAUCAACGCUGAAACAACCAGAAGGUUCGCUUAGAAGCAGCUAUCCUUGAAAGAAUGCGUAAUAGCUCACUGGUUAACGCGUAGAUGCACCGAAAAUGACCGGGACUAAGUAAUUUGCCGAAGCUAUGGGCAAUCGAUUAUUGUUGAUUGCAGUAGGGUAGCGUUCUGUUUGAGGUGAACUUUUUUUGAAAUAAAAUUAGGGAUUCAACAGAAGUGAGAAUGUCGGCUUGAGUAACGAUAACAUUGGUGAGAAUCCAAUGCCCCGAAAACCUAAGGUUUCCUCUUCAAGGUUCGUCCCAAGAGGGUUAGUCAGGGCCUAAGAUUAGGCUGAAAAGCGUCAUCGAUGGAUAAUAGGUGAAUAUUCCUAUACUCAUUUGAAUUUAGUGACAAGGGACGAAGAAAGCAAGUUCAAGCUCUUUAAAUGGUUCAGAGUGGAAAUACUCGACAUAUUGUUGAGACAUAAAAAUUUCAACUUGGAUUGAUUUUUCUUUCCAAUAUGAAGAUAUGACACGUUAUUUGAUCUUUCUUUAUUUCAAAUAGUUUGAAUCUUGUUCUGCUUCCAAGAAAAGCUUGAAACACUUUAUUAGUUCAAAUGACCUGUACCGUUAACCGACACUGGUGGGUAAGUUGAGUAAACUUAGGGGCGCGAGAUAACUCUUUCUAAGGAACUCGGCAAAAUGGCCCCGUAACUUCGGGAGAAGGGGUGCCUUCUUAUAAGGCCGCAGCGAACAAAUUCAUUGAACUUUUUAUCAAAAAAUUAGGUCUCCGCGAAGUCGUAAGACAAUGUAGGGGGGCUGACGCCUGCCCAGUGCCGGAAGGUUAAAAAAAUUAGUGAAAGCUGAUAAUUGAAGCCCCGGUGAACGGCGGCCGUAACUCUAGCGAAAUUCCUUGUCAAGUAAGUUUUGACCCGCACGAAAGGCGUAAUCAAAUGAAUACUGUCUCAGAAAGAGACUCGGUGAAAUAGACAUGUCCGUGAAGAUGCGGACUUAUUACAUCAAGACACGAAGACCCCGUGAAGCUUGACUGUAUCUUGAUAUUGAUUUGCAGUUAUUCUUGCGCAGUCUAGGUGGGAGGCCCUAAAAGGUAACGGAGGUUUGCAAAGGUUUCCUCAAACUGGACGGAAAUCAGUUGGUGAGUGUAAAGGCAAAAGGAAGCUUGACUGUUAGACCUCUAAGUCGAACAGAGGCGAAAGCCGGCCUUAGUGAUCCGACGGUUUCCGUGUGGAAGGGCCGUCGCGCAAAAGAUAAAAGUUACUCUGGGGAUAACAGGCUUAUCUUCCCCAAGAGUUCACAUCGACGGGAAGGUUUGGCACCUCAACAUCGCGAUGUCGACUUUUCGCAACCUGGGGCGGUAGGUUGUCCCAAGGGUUGGGCUGUUCGCCCAUUAAAGCGGUACAUGAGUUGGGUGGAGAAAUAGAGACAGUUUGGUCUAUAUCUGAUGUAAACGUAAGAAUAUUGAGAGAACUUUUCCAUAAUACGAGAGGACUUGGAAGAACGGACCCCUGGUGAACCAGUUCUUCGACCACGAGGACGCGCUGGGUAGCUAUGUACGGAAUAGAGAACUGCUGAAAGCAUCUAAGUAGGAAACUAAUCUCAAGAUGAAUAUUCUCCAUUAGACUCCGGUAAGAUCAACCGGUUAAUAGGUUUCAGGUAGAAGAUUUGUAAAAAUUGAAGCCGAGAAAUACUAAUGAUCAAUUGUUUUUGAU